RNAcentral lists this ribosomal RNA (253 nucleotides) under uncultured bacterium. Its description in RNAcentral is "partial 16S ribosomal RNA". It matches the Rfam family "Bacterial small subunit ribosomal RNA", at positions 524 to 776 of the family's 1533-position model. The record is from RNAcentral.
UACGUAGGGUGCAAGCGUUAAUCGGAAUUACUGGGCGUAAAGCGUGCGCAGGCGGUCUCUUAAGACAGGUGUGAAAUCCCCGGGCUUAACCUGGGAACUGCGCUUGUAACUGAGAGGCUAGAGUGUGGCAGAGGGGGGUGGAAUUCCACGUGUAGCAGUGAAAUGCGUAGAUAUGUGGAGGAACACCGAUGGCGAAGGCAGCCCCCUGGGCUAACACUGACGCUCAUGCACGAAAGCGUGGGGAGCAAACAGG